AGAUCAUGUUGUGGGCAAUUGCGAAGUAAUCCCUUAUAAUGUUCCCACAGUUCAUAUAAGGAUUCUCCAUCUAGUUGAUGGAAAUUCUGGAUUUUCUUUUUCAACUU
Small nucleolar RNA from Lactuca sativa (garden lettuce), 107 nucleotides. The record is from RefSeq and is a predicted model, not a curated record. NCBI's taxonomy places the organism in Eukaryota, Viridiplantae, Streptophyta, Magnoliopsida, Asterales, Asteraceae.